Ictalurus punctatus (channel catfish) is the source of this 1193-nucleotide long non-coding RNA. The record is from Ensembl. Lineage: Eukaryota; Metazoa; Chordata; Actinopteri; Siluriformes; Ictaluridae.
CACACACACACACACACACACACACGAGCAACACUUUCCAGUUGUCAUCUCUUGCACAACAUUCUGCAUUCUGUACAGUCCUUUACGCAUCACAAUAAACACACCUUCCUCAUGCUCUCAUUUAAAGCUGCUAUUCGUCUCCUUAUGCCUUUUGCCCACUCAUUUCACACACAAACUCAUUCUACAACCCAUUUUAGAGUGAAAUAUUAACUCAUUCGGACAUGCGUCUAAUAAUGGAAUUAGAUGUGACCAGUGCCCCGGGGAAUGGAGGCAGAAGGGAGUGUGCAGUGGGAGAGAGGACAGAGGAGCCUGGGAAGAUCUCCCCCAAAUAAUGAGCGGUAAUGUGGGAUGCUGAUGUUAUGAGGAUAUCAAGCAAAAAUGAAUAAGGAGCUAAAUACUGAUGCUUCAGUGGAGUGCCAUCAUCAUCCUCCAUUGUACUGGAUGGAUUUUUUACGUCACGUUUUCUAGACCUAAUGAUGAUGCUUAUAAUUGAAGAUGUGUGUGUACAGUGUACAGUAGUUAGUUCACUCAACCUGAUUGGUAAGUGUAAACCGUGCGUAUACUGGAUAUUAAAUAACAGCACAUUUCCCACUCGGUUAUCCAUACCUGUUUCGUUCCAGUGACCACUGGUAACUAUGGUAACAGUAACAGUUGCUCUGCUUUAAACCACUACUGUCGUCCGGCUGCUAGCAUUACCUUAAUGAACACCAGGAAUAGAAAAUACUUCAUAUUUGACUUGCACUGCCAGGCUUGCAUUCAGAUAAUACAUUUUUUUUUUAAAAUUUAAACCCAAAAGACCUAAGUUACAGUUAUAACUCCAAGCUAGCAACAGUUAUUUCCAUAUUAUUAUUAAUAUGGGCAGUUUCUUUCACCAAAAACAAAAAAAAGUAUUCCCACUCCAAGUGGCUUGUCAGUAUGUAUAGAACAAAACACGAUGGGCCAAAAUAUUAUACGAAAAUGAUCAGAGAUUUGACUCUGACUGCUGACACUGGAGACUAAACAAACCUCUCCUCACAGAAGACGUCACCAUAUCAUCACUAUAUUAAGAAUUUAACAGUGUUUAUCUCUCUCACUCUCUCAAGCCCUCUCUCUCGCUUUUUCUCUCUCUCCUUCUCUCUCUCCCCCUCUUUCUCCCUCUCUCUCUCUCUUUCUCCCUCGCUCCGUCUUUCCAUAAUGAUGUUGCAUUUUAAACG